Molecule: long non-coding RNA, 2080 nt
Organism: Canis lupus familiaris (dog)
Lineage: Eukaryota; Metazoa; Chordata; Mammalia; Carnivora; Canidae
Exons: 2
Source: RefSeq, a predicted model, not a curated record
CUCUGGGGCUGUGGCCAUUUCUCUGCACAGCUAUUUUCAUACUUACCUUAAGAGCUCACUCUGUUCCCCCAGCAAUUCUAUCAACUAUUGCUCUUCUCCAAAAAUCAGGUCCCGCAUUCAGAAUUCCUGGAGGUUACUAUGGUGCUUUGUUUUGUUUAUUUUCCACCUAGAUCAUCUUUGGGGGCAGCGUUUGGGGCACCUCUGGUGGCUGCUGGCUGACACCAAGCUUGUGGGGCUUAUCGCAUGGGACACAUGAACGAAGAAGAGGUUCCGUGAGUUAUUAGGAAUGGCUGGUUUGCUCUGUGUGUCCAGAGUUGUUCAAUGACAAUGUACACAUUAUUCUGCCAUCAGGAGAGGGCAGAGGCUAACAACCAACCCACCUUUUCCCUGAGGUUCAGACCCGUGGGAGCCUUGCAGGAAGCUGGAAUGGUCUCCUGAGACCCAAGGAAGCUGGGAGACCUGCUCUAAUCUCAGCUCUAAAACCCAAACGCUUUUCCAGACUCCCUCCAACUAAGUACCAGGCCGCAACGGCCGGCGUGAGAAAUCUCCAGCAGGACAGCACUCGGCCUGCCCGUUUGUUGGAAGAAAGUCUCGCUUCUGACUUCAUUUUUGUGUUCCUAAGUCAUAAUUGUGAGUUCAAGAAUCUCAGUUUUGCGCCAGGACCCUGGGGCCAGGAAGAGCAUGGCUUAAAUUCUUUGUGGAGGAACUCAGGUGUUCCGCUCACAUCUGACAUGUGUGCAAGGCGGUGCUGCUUCUCUCCUGAUUCCUGGUGGCUACGUCGCCUCCCAUGUUGUCGUGGCGACGGCACUGCCUUUGUGAUGAAUGAUGACACACUAACGUGGACACAGAAGAGGAUAAAGACAGCCCUAGGGCUUCGCAUAGGAUCGUGUGCACCUUCAGAACACACUCAGAUCACCUUUCUUUUGCACCUUUCUGAAACCCCGUGAAGAAAUGCGAGCGAAGAGAAUGAGACCAGAUAACGUGACUAACACGGAUCACUUAUUUGCAAGGUGCCGGGCAUCGUUCCAAGCUACUUCUAUAGUUAGGAGUGCUUCCCCUGGAUUUACAUCUGCACCUUACAGCAACUCUGAUGCAGGUGCUACUACCGCAGCUGCCUACAGAUGAGGAGACAGGUGUGUCAAUCACAGAUUACGCAAUCAGGUCACUGCGGCGCAGGGCCCUGGCCAGGCUGGGAUUUAAACCCCCAGCCCGCCUCUCUUCAGACCCUGACACCUAACAACCAGCCCACACUGCUGCUCGAGAGGAUCAGGGGUAAAGAGCUCUGUGUGGUCCCAGAAGACAGUUUGGAACCUAAUUAGUCAUCUUAGAAGCUAGGUUUCCUCACUCCUGUCCAACAUACCUUUAUUCUUGUCAUUUUUUAAAGAUUUAUUUGAGAGAGAGAGAGAGAGAGAGAGUGCAGACAUAGCCGGAGGGGGAGAGGGAGAGGAUCUCUAGCAGACUCCCUGCCGAGCGUGGAGCUCAACGUGGGGCUCGAUCUCACGACCCUGAGAUCACGACCAGAGCUGAAAUCAAGAAUCGGACGCUCAACUGGCUGAGCCACGCAGGCGCCCCCCUUCUUUUCAUUUUUUAUGGUGAAACAUACACAGAUCCUAAUGUAUAAACAAAUAUAUAUUUCAUACUGAACCAUUUGAAGUUAUCAAUAUUUGCUCAGAUUUGACACGUAGAAAUGGCAAUCUCACGACUUAAUGUGCUAUCUGCUAUUUACUGAACUGGUAAAGUUAAGGCAAAGGCUAAUAUAAACACCACCCAGUUGAAAGAAAGAGCGUUGCCUGCACAUGCAUCUCCCCCUGAGAUGCCCCCCCGUGUCUCUCUGGGUGACACCACUCCGAGUUUCUGUGGUAAUCUUCAUUUUCCUCAUGUUGGCAUCCCUAAAGAAUGUAGCUUAUUUUUGCUUGCUAUGUCCUGAUAUAAAUGGAUCGUACUCCACGUGUUCUUUUGAGACUUGCUUUUCUCAUUCAUUACUCUGUUGGUGCAAUUGAGCUGAAUUGCUCAUGCAAUUAUAGUUUUUUGGGGUCGUUGUAUAAUAUUACAUUAUAUGAAUAAAUCACUGUUUAUCCGU